AACCUCUGCAAUAGGCGAAAGCCUGACAGGGUUACUCUGAGUGAUUUCCGUUAAGGAGAUCUUUUGGCAUCUCUAAAAAUGGUGCAGAAUAAGGGGUGGGCAAGUCUGGUGUCAGCCGCCGCGGUAAUACCAGCACCCCGAGUGGUCGGGACGUUUAUUGGGCCUAAAGCAUCCGUAGCCGGUUCUACAAGUCUUCCGUUAAAUCCAGCUGCUUAACAGAUGGGCCGCGGAAGAUACUAUGGAGCUAGGAGGCGGGAGAGGCAAGCGGUACUCGAUGGGUAGGGGUAAAAUCCGUUGAUCCAUUGAAGACCACCAGUGGCGAAGGCGGCUUGCCAGAACGCGCUCGACGGUGAGGGAUGAAAGCUGGGGGAGCAAACCGGAUUAGAUACCCGGGUAGUCCCAGCUGUAAACGAUGCGAGCUAGGUGACACAAGGCCUUCGGGGCCUUGUGGUGCCGCAGGGAAGCCGUUAAGCUUGCCGCCUGGGGAGUACGGACGCAAGUCUGAAACUUAA
RNAcentral lists this ribosomal RNA (512 nucleotides) under uncultured archaeon. RNAcentral describes it as "bacterial SSU rRNA". It matches the Rfam family "Archaeal small subunit ribosomal RNA", at positions 345 to 859 of the family's 1478-position model. The record is from RNAcentral.